RNAcentral lists this ribosomal RNA (303 nucleotides) under uncultured bacterium. RNAcentral's name for it is "partial 16S ribosomal RNA". It matches the Rfam family "Bacterial small subunit ribosomal RNA", at positions 510 to 808 of the family's 1533-position model. The record is from RNAcentral.
AGCAGUAGCGCGGUAAAACGUAGGGUGCAAGCGUUAAUCGGAAUUACUGGGCGUAAAGCGUGCGCAGGCGGUUAUAUAAGACAGAUGUGAAAUCCCCGGGCUCAACCUGGGAACUGCAUUUGUGACUGUAUAGCUAGAGUACGGCAGAGGGGGAUGGAAUUCCGCGUGUAGCAGUGAAAUGCGUAGAUAUGCGGAGGAACACCGAUGGCGAAGGCAAUCCACUGGGCCUGUACUGACGCUCAUGCACGAAAGCGUGGGGAGCAAACAGGAUUAGAUACCCGCGUAGUCCCUGUCUCUUAUACC